This 1019-nucleotide long non-coding RNA is filed under the name Danio rerio (zebrafish). Its description in RNAcentral is "si:dkey-17e6.1 (ENSDARG00000096697.2)". Lineage: Eukaryota; Metazoa; Chordata; Actinopteri; Cypriniformes; Danionidae. The record is from RNAcentral.
UGUAUGACGUGGUGGUGUAUAACAAAGUGUAAAUAACGUGGCGUUUUAAGAUGAAUGCUUUCGAGUUGCUGUUUUCUGUCGGAGUAUGAACUGAACAUGAAUUGACUUCAGUGACGAACUUUAAAACCAUCGAUGAAGUCUUUUGCAACUAAAAAUCAACAGAAUUGAAUGAAAAACGAAGUCUCAAGCCAAAGGGGUUCUGAUGGAUGUGUCCACUCUUACGUGAAAGAAUACGUUCAAUUCGACAUGAUCAUAGUAAAAGAGCAGAAACUGUGCAGGAUUCCAAGAACAGCUUGGGCUAUCAGGGACUAAACGACUGGUCCUCGCAGGACAUUGAGCCCUGGUUUGGUGGCGAGUCUCUGCGAGCAGAUGGCUGGAUUCCCUCACAGCCCCGCAGCCGUGACUGAAAUGCUUUCUCAUGCACAGAGCUGACCAUUCAUGCACACGUGUGCUCAUCGCCCCCUCCCUCCCGUCUUGCUCUCUCUUUUAUGGAAAACGCGCUCCGUAAUGGGCACAACAGGACCCGUUCUCCAUCCAGAUUAAAAUCACCCAGGCAGUCAUUUCCCAGAAGCAGAAAUGCAUAUCAGUUCCAUUUAAACUCGCUCUCCUUCUCUGACAGUUUUGAGGAAAUCUCGAGGCAAGCGUGUGAAGCACGACUAAUGGAAAACUUCACAGGAUUCACUCGUUCACUUAAGGCGAGACACUGGAGGCAAAAAAAACAUUUCAUGCGACUCAAUUUUUGGAUUUUCAUAUACUGCUUUUCCAGUCUAACUUAAAGAAAUUAUUCAGGAUACACAUUUCAGCAUUUCUUUUGUCACACCAAAUCAAUUUUUCUGUGGAUUUCAUUGAUGGUUGGUUAGGAUUCAAUAACAUUUGACUGCAAUAAAAUAAAAUAAUUUAAACUGUGGGGUUGCAAAAAAUGAAAUGUGUUUUUGAAAUGUGUGAAUAUUUGAACAUGUUUGUUCAAUGUGGACCAAUUUGAACUGCCACAUGAAAACAGGACUAUAGAGCAGCUCCUC